This is a transfer RNA of 72 nucleotides. It matches the Rfam family "tRNA". From Rfam's summary of the family: Transfer RNA (tRNA) molecules are approximately 80 nucleotides in length. Their secondary structure includes four short double-helical elements and three loops (D, anti-codon, and T loops).
AGUGCGGUAGAGCAGUGGUAGCUCGCAAGGCUCAUAACCUUGAGGUCGGGAGUUCGAAUCUCCCCCGCGCAA